UACAGAGGUCUCAAGCGUUGUUCGGAUUCAUUGGGCGUAAAGGGUGCGUAGGUGGCAAGCUAAGUCGGAUGUGAAAUCCCAGGGCUCAACCCUGGAACUGCAUUCGAUACUGGUUUGCUUGAGGACUGGAGAGGAGAUUGGAAUUCAUGGUGUAGCAGUGAAAUGCGUAGAUAUCAUGAGGAAGACCAGUGGCGAAGGCGGAUCUCUGGACAGUUCCUGACACUGAGGCACGAAGGCCAGGGGAGCAAACGGG
This 253-nucleotide ribosomal RNA is filed under the name uncultured bacterium. RNAcentral describes it as "partial 16S ribosomal RNA". It matches the Rfam family "Bacterial small subunit ribosomal RNA", at positions 524 to 776 of the family's 1533-position model. The record is from RNAcentral.